GAUUUUUAGGGGGGGGGGCUAGGAUGAAAUUUGAAAAAAAUAGGCAGGACAGGAGUUUUGAGUAAAAAAAAAAAGGCAGGAUGAGACACUUGCAAAAAAAAAGUCAGGACGACAAUUUAGGUAAAAACAAGUCAGGAUAAACUAAAAAAAAAAAGGCAGGACAGGGAUUUCAGCUAAAAAAAAAUGCAGGACAAAAUUUUUCCUACUAG
RNAcentral lists this long non-coding RNA (209 nucleotides) under Mytilus galloprovincialis (Mediterranean mussel). Lineage: Eukaryota; Metazoa; Mollusca; Bivalvia; Mytilida; Mytilidae. The record is from RNAcentral.